Molecule: ribosomal RNA, 167 nt
Filed under: Salmonella enterica subsp. enterica serovar Agona str. 400095 13
Lineage: Bacteria; Pseudomonadati; Pseudomonadota; Gammaproteobacteria; Enterobacterales; Enterobacteriaceae
Description: partial 23S ribosomal RNA
Rfam family: Bacterial large subunit ribosomal RNA
Source: RNAcentral
AAGUGCUGAAAGCAUCUAAGCACGAAACUUGCCCCGAGAUGAGUUCUCCCUGAGACUUAGAGUCUCCUGAAGGAACGUUGAAGACGACGACGUUGAUAGGCCGGGUGUGUAAGCGCAGCGAUGCGUUGAGCUAACCGGUACUAAUGAACCGUGAGGCUUAACCUUAC